UGAACGCUAGCGGCAGGCUUAACACAUGCAAGUCGAGGGGCAUCGAGAGUAGCAAUACUUGUCGGCGACCGGCGCAAGGGUGCGUAACACGUGAGCAACAUACCCGUUUCAGGAGGAUAACCGGAGGAAACUCUGCCUAAUACUCCAUGACAUCAUCAAACGGCAUCGUUUGAUGAUUAAAGAUUUAUCGGAAACGGCUUGGCUCGCGGGACAUUAGCUUGUUGGUGAGGUAACGGCUCACCAAGGCUACGAUGUCUAGGGGUUCUGAGAGGAAGGUCCCCCACACUGGAACUGAGACACGGUCCAGACUCCUACGGGAGGCAGCAGUGAGGAAUAUUGGACAAUGGUCGGAAGACUGAUCCAGCCAUGCCGCGUGAAGGUUACUGUCCUAUGGAUAUUAAACUUCUUUUGUAUGAGAGCAAUAAGGUGCACGCGUGCACCGAUGAGAGUAUCAUACGAAUAAGCAUCGGCUAACUCCGUG
Molecule: ribosomal RNA, 481 nt
Filed under: uncultured bacterium
Lineage: Bacteria
Description: bacterial SSU rRNA
Rfam family: Bacterial small subunit ribosomal RNA
Source: RNAcentral